CAGGCCUAACACAUGCAAGUCGAACGAUGCCUUUCGGGGUCUAGUGGCGCACGGGUGCGUAACGCGUGGGAAUCUGCCCUUGGGUUCGGAAUAACAGCGAGAAAUUGCUGCUAAUACCGGAUAAUGACGUAAGUCCAAAGAUUUAUCGCCCAGGGAUGAGCCCGCGUAGGAUUAGCUAGUUGGUGGGGUAAAGGCCUACCAAGGCGACGAUCCUUAGCUGGUCUGAGAGGAUGAUCAGCCACACUGGGACUGAGACACGGCCCAGACUCCUACGGGAGGCAGCAGUGGGGAAUAUUGGACAAUGGGCGAAAGCCUGAUCCAGCCAUGCCGCGUGAGUGAUGAAGGCCUUAGGGUUGUAAAGCUCUUUCAGUGGGGAAGAUAAUGACGGUAUCCACAGAAGAAGCCCCGGCUAACUUGGUGCCAGCAGCCGCGGUAAU
Molecule: ribosomal RNA, 437 nt
Filed under: uncultured bacterium
Lineage: Bacteria
Description: bacterial SSU rRNA
Rfam family: Bacterial small subunit ribosomal RNA
Source: RNAcentral